Molecule: non-coding RNA, 3638 nt
Organism: Chrysemys picta bellii (western painted turtle)
Lineage: Eukaryota; Metazoa; Chordata; Testudines; Emydidae
Source: RefSeq, a predicted model, not a curated record
CAAGCCGGUCUGGAGAAGUUACAAUUCAUGCAGGAGACAGCGUCAUAUCUGAAGAUUCCUGUAACAUACAAGAGUGAAACUGACUGCGUGGGGAAGUCGCCUGUUAGACAUAUCAGCAGUAACUUCUGGUCGCUGCUGGAACAGUGGAGAUUAUAGGUCUGGGAUGAAAUCCCAGCCCCCCGUGAAGCCCAUGGGAGUUCUGCCAUUAACUUUAAGGGGACCAGGACUGAUUUGGGCGGAUUCACUGUCCUGCUUUUUGUUUAGAUCGGGGGUCUCAAAACAGGGACUGGAAGGUGUCUGGGGUCACGCCCACCCUGCUCUCCCCACAUGGCUAACUGGAAAGGGGGCUGCAAGGUGGAAAGAGCUGAGAACCACAGAGCUAAAUCAUUAACAAUGAACCCCGCAAACCCCCCUGACUUACCACAGUGACGUUCACACUCCAGUCUGCCUAGGGAACGCAGGGAGAGUUCAUUAGGGUUAAAGAGCCCUUGUUUCAAAUGAUCGCCAUUAACAACAGACACUGUACUUAUCUGGCCCUCAUCACGGCAGCACCUGAGUGCCUCACACUCUUUGUUAUAUCCUUCCUACCCGCCCCGUGUGGAGCAGUGCUACUAUCCCUGUUGUACAGAAGGGAAACUGAGGCCCAGAGGCUAAGGAACUUCUCCAAGGUCACAAAGGGAGUUUGUGGCAGAGCAGAGAAUUGAACCUGGGUCUCCGAAGUCCCCAGUUAGUGCUCUAACCACUUGGCACUGCUUCCUCAGUGCUCUCUGGUGUGAAAACCAGGCCCUGCUACUCUGCCCAUGAUCUUACUUAUCCCCUCCCCUCAAGCACUGUAACCCCCUCAUUUUCCCUGGAGUCUCAGUUCUCAUGGUGUCAUGCAGGCAGUUCAAAGCGCAGCUCUGCUUCCCCUUAGCCCUACCGCAAAGCUGGAGACCAUCCCAGACCUACUCAGAAAUCUCCCCUCGGCGGCCCAGGAUGAGAUCUCCCUUCUAGGCCCCAGAAUCUUCUGCAGACUUGCUGAGUCCCGUCCUGCCUGACAGCUCCUCCGUCCCCAGCCCACUCGGCGAUUCACAGAUACUACAUGCCGUCCUGCCCCUUCCCCACCAGGCUCCAGCUCUUGCUCUGAAAUUGCCCUCAGUGUCUGAUAACACCCCUCCCUUCCCACCAGGCCCUUUCCCUGACAGCCUCGUGUCAACACUCAGCAGCCCUUUGACCCCAGCCCCCUCCCUUCGCAACACUCGUGAACCCUACAGUGUCCCCGUGUUGACCUUUGCGCUCUUUUCCACUCCCUUUACUACAGCUACAGGUGCUACCAGCAGAAACCAAAGGUGAGGGGGUGGCAUGCAGAGGAAAGGGAAGAAGCUCACUUUCAAUGAUUGCUCGCUGCAGCAGCAGGAUCUGCUUCUGAAAAACGGACUGCAGGAGUUGAGGGAGAAGACCUUCAAAAGAGAGAGAGCUGCUGAUAGUCAUCACCACGUCCUGAUUUAACGGCAAGCCCCGCAAUGGAGACCCAUUCCACUUCUUCACUAGGCAACAGACAUCCCAGAUCACCAACCCUUCUGUACGACACAUCCCCUUUUUUGCAAGUCAACUAACUUACCUGGUCGGUACGUUUUCCCACUCAACAGGAUGUCAAGUUUUUCAUACACUUUGGCUGCAAUUUCAUGUAGCUUAUCCACAGCUGGGAAUGUAGAACAGAAGUCAAGGAACGCCUUGAGGUCACUAGAAAUAUUGAACACUUAGGCACGAUCAGGGAAAUUUCUGUUCAAAGUGACCGUGGUGCAGGCUACAGAAUCUAGGAACAUUGUUUAAAAGCUCUUCAUCUGAAACCCAUUUAAAUGCUGCGUUUGGGGCUUAUGUGAUUUGAACAGCCUUGUGUGAGUUCUCUGUACUGGAAUCAGUUUCACUUCAAAACUACAGCAAGUUGGUUUUCAGACAAAUCUUUCACUUUUCCAGCACUGUCAAUCCCAAGUGUUCAAAAAAUCUGGAGUGAGGCACCUAAAAAUCAUGAGAUUUUUAAAAAAAUAAUACAUUUGCAGGUUUUUUUAUUUGCCUUAUUUUGUGAGCCUUUAGAGUACCUCCGGAACAUAUUUAUACAACCACGAGGGGUAGGAACAUACUUUAAAAAAAACACCAAAAGUGAAAGCUGAGAUUCUCCCAUAUUCCUAUGACUCCAGGAGCUGACGCUUUGAGCAAGAACAGCAAAUAUCGUGGCAGCUGGUAAUACUGUUUUGAUGAACAUGGCAUUGGCUGAAUUAAAGAUAUCUAAGCCAGUCAGAAUGCAAAUGAAAUGACGAACACAGAGAUCAUUACAGAAAUGGUGAUCAGGAAUAUUUUCAUAGAAUUACCACCUCUGGCUUAGAAAAUGUGGGUUUACUUUGCCAUGCAUUUUUAACAUGGCUCAUUUUCACCUGGGAGAUUAUUUAGCAGCAGGAGGCCUUUAUCUGGCUGUGGCAUCACCGUAUUUUAUCAAUAUCAUCUCUUAUUUUAAUGAAGAUUCCAAAAAAUAACCAACCUUUUCUGAUUCCAAAGAAAUGAAAAUGACAUUGGAGCGGUCCCUGGGAAGUAACGUUAAAAACUCAAUUUAAAAUAGAAAUGCUCUGAAUGCUACAAUUCGUCAAGCUCAGAACCGUUUAACAGAUUCCAAACUUUUAGUAUACGAGUUUCUCUUUGCAGAGCCAGGUAAAACUUCCACAUUCCUGUUGGAUCUGUGCUAAUGAAGGGCAGGCACAAUCAAAGGCUAAGGGGCAAGGUAAAACAGAAACUAUCUUUUUCUCUCAAGAGAUGUUCAUCUGCCCCUUGAAUUAACUUCCAAGGUACCAGUAGUUGCAUCCGAAGAAGUGGGCUGUAAUCCACGAAAGCUUAUGCUCUAAUAAAUUUGUUAGUCUCUAAGGUGCCACAAGUCCUCCUGUUCUUCUUUUUGCGGAUACAGACUAACACGGCUGCUACUCUGAAACCUGACACGCAUGAUGGCAAAUGAACUGAAUGGGGCCUGGGGAGGAAGGGAAAUGAGAUUAAAAUGACAUAAACAUGCAUCAAAAAGUAGAAGUGCAAGCCAUAGGCCGAUUGUCUUGUUCAUUCUGUGCAGCGGAAGAUUACAGCCCCAAGAGUUCUGGGCUCAGAUCCUCAAAGGCAGUAGUUAUCAACUAGGGGUACGCACACCCCUGGGGGUACACAGAGGUCUUCCAGGGGGUACAUCAACUCAUCUAGUUAUUUGCCUAGUUUUACAACAGGCUACUAGCAUUAGCCAAACCAGCACAAACUACAAUUUCAUGCAGACAAUGACUUGUUUAUAUUGCUCUAUGGACUAUACAUUGGAUGUAAGUACAAUAGUUAUAUUCCAAUUGAUUUAUUUUAUAAUUAUAUGGCAAAAAUGAGAACAUAAUCGAUUACUCAAUAAUAGCGUCCUGUGACGCUUUUGUAUUUUUAUGUCUGAUUUUGUAAGCAAGUAGUGUUUAAGUGAGGUGAAACUUGGAGUACGCAAGACAAAUGAGACUCCUGAAAGGGGUACAGUAGUCUGGAAAGGCUGAGAGCCACUGUUCAAAGGUAUGUAGACUUCUAACUUCCAUUACAUCAAUAGAAGCUAGGAACCUAAAUACCUCUGAGGAUCUGAGCCACGGAGCUUACAUUUCUCAGUG